AAGCGCUGAAAAAUAAUAACUGUACAAAAGAAUAAACACCCAACAAGCAAGAAACCUACAAAAGCUAGGAGGGACUCGCUUAAGGGAAACCGGUUCCCCAGCAGAGUCUCCAGCUGUCGCAACCUGCGAAAAAACAACCGACGAAAAAAAAGAAAAGACAGAAGAGUCGCCACCGUGCGUUAUUUAUCCCAAAGGAGGGGGAAAGGAAACGCUCGAAGUAAACCUGGGAAAAGGAAAGGAAAAGACAAGGCCUCGCAAACAAAUCUUGGGUUCGGG
Molecule: long non-coding RNA, 276 nt
Filed under: Lathyrus oleraceus (garden pea)
Lineage: Eukaryota; Viridiplantae; Streptophyta; Magnoliopsida; Fabales; Fabaceae
Description: Pisum sativum (pea) long non-coding RNA (PSAT_LNC025734)
Source: RNAcentral